This 497-nucleotide ribosomal RNA is filed under the name uncultured bacterium. RNAcentral describes it as "partial 16S ribosomal RNA". It matches the Rfam family "Bacterial small subunit ribosomal RNA", at positions 28 to 507 of the family's 1533-position model. The record is from RNAcentral.
GAUGAACGCUGGCGGCGUGCCUAAUACAUGCAAGUCGAGCGGACGGACGAGAAGCUUGCUUCUCUGAUGUUAGCGGCGGACGGGUGAGUAACACGUGGAUAACCUACCUAUAAGACUGGGAUAACUUCGGGAAACCGGAGCUAAUACCGGAUAAUAUUUUGAACCGCAUGGUUCAAAAGUGAAAGACGGUCUUGCUGUCACUUAUAGAUGGAUCCGCGCUGCAUUAGCUAGUUGGUAAGGUAACGGCUUACCAAGGCAACGAUGCAUAGCCGACCUGAGAGGGUGAUCGGCCACACGGGAACUGAGACACGGUCCAGACUCCUACGGGAGGCAGCAGUAGGGAAUCUUCCGCAAUGGGCGAAAGCCUGACGGAGCAACGCCGCGUGAGUGAUGAAGGUCUUCGGAUCGUAAAACUCUGUUAUUAGGGAAGAACAUAUGUGUAAGUAACUGUGCACAUCUUGACGGUACCUAAUCAGAAAGCCACGGCUAACUACGUG